This is a long non-coding RNA of Eupeodes corollae, 7345 nucleotides long. RefSeq lists it as uncharacterized. Lineage: Eukaryota; Metazoa; Arthropoda; Insecta; Diptera; Syrphidae. The record is from RefSeq and is a predicted model, not a curated record. The transcript is spliced from 8 exons.
UCUAACACGCAACCCAACUCGCCCUUGGAACACACCUAUUAUUUUGCAUCCGUGUAGAGAUUGGAGAACUGUCAGUCACCGAUACCAUUAUGACUUAUGAGCAAGCAGAACACGGCUGCGCAGUGUGCUUUCCUUUGAAAUUACAACCCAAGGAUGUUCAGGCGCCCGCAACAAAAUUUGUUGCUUAUUGAGAUAUAUUCUCAAUAAGCAGCAAAAACAGAAAUUUUCGGCCGCCUGAGAAAGGAAUCCAAGCGAAGACGAUAACGGGACACUCAAUGGACGCUGAGAUAAGUUUAUAAAUUUCUAUUUAUUAUACUUUGUAGGUACAACUUAUUUAUCCCUUUUUCAUUUCAGAUAUCUUGGCCGAUUAACUGACUGUGGGGAAAAACCCACGUUAAAAGCCGGGCAAUACCUUUGGUGCAACGUUUAAGUUAAGCUGUACCCCUAGAGGGCAAUGACCUGGACCAAAAAAAAAACUACAUCUUCAUUCCCGACCUAUCUCAACCAUAGUGAUUUUAGGUGCGAUUUGCGACUGUUGGGGCCCCACCUGCUGGAGUGACAUGGUGACCAAAGGUUGGGAUGCUGGGAGAAUCAAGCAGUCAACGAUUUGUACUAUCGCUUCAUCUCUAUCCGCCACCACUAUGAAUUUCUACGUUACAGCACCCAUACAAUAUUCAAGUGAUUGUUGAUCGUAGUUUUCAAUCAUUGCGGAUAGUAUUUAAGUUAGUAAAAUUAGUAAAUUAAGUAUCACAAGUUUUAAAAGAUAAGUUACUUAAGCUAAAAUAAAAAGAAAAUAUAAAUAUCACAGAUAAAAAAAUUAAAGCUAUCAGUCUUAGUAGGAUUAAUAAAGUUAGUUAAAAGUAUCACAGAUGGAAUGGUCAAACCAUUUUAUCACAGAUAAAGACAAAUUUUAAAAGCUAUUAGCCUAAGUAAAAUUAAUAAAGUAAGUAAAAAUAUCACAGAUGGGAUGGUUGAACCAUUUUAUCACAGAUAAAGAAAAAUUUAAAAGCUAUUAGUCUUAGUAAAAUUAAUAAAAUAAGUAAAAAUAUCACAGAUGGGAUGGUUGAACCAUUUUAUCCCAGAUGUUUAAUAAAAUAAGUUAAAUCCUAAUAAAUAAAUAAGAACAUUUAACAUUAAGUAACAUUUAGAACAUAAGGCAUGCAAUGAAAAUAAUAAAUACGUAUAUACUUAAAAUAUCCGUGUUUAUUAAACAGUUCCAGGUACUUGUGGUUAUAGGGUGUUUCGGUUUUUUCUGUUUCGAACUGUUGCUAAAUAAAUAUAAUAAGCUAUACUCACGGAUAAUUUAAUAAAUUAACAAAUAACAAACCGAAACGAUGCGAAUAGCAACAAUGAUAACUAAGAAAAAAGACUUGUAUUCAAAGCAAACAAACAAACGUGUUUUUGAAGCAUUCUACUUAUUGUUUUAAAUCUUUGGCGUGAUAUAUUCCAAGUCUUUUUCCGGUUAAGUUUUCUAACUCAUACAUUUGAUUUCCUAUUCGUUUAACUACGCGGCAUUUAAUAUACUUGGGUGAGAGUUUCGCUGAUAAACCUUUCGACGAAUCGCUCAUCACAAAAUUUUUCCGAUACACCUCUUGUCCGGGUGAAAAUUGAACGUUUUUAGUACGGACAUUAUAAAUUUUUGAGGAUUUAUCGUUGGCUUUAAUUAUGUUUUCGCGAAUAUGAUUUCGUAUACACUGCAAUCGACCUUGUCGGGGAAGAGUUAACAGCUCGCUGUCGUCCAGCGCAUGCAACUUCUUGGCAAGUUCAUAACCGCUACCGUGCGUCAUCAUGUUAGUGCCGAAUAAUGCAUAAUAAGGUGACACACCGGUAGAGCUAUGAACCGCGCUUCUUAACGCACACGCGAUGUCGCUAAGGUGCGUAUCCCAAUACCUUUGAUCGUCUUUUAGGUACGAUCGAAUAGCAGCCAACAAGGAGCGGUUCACCCUCUCCGACGCGUUCGAUUGCGGUGCAUAGUGAGCGGUUUUAAAAUGCCUUAUACCGUAUUUAGUUAUCAUCGAUUCGAAUUCUUUGGAUACAAAUUGUUUUCCAUUGUCGGAAUGGAUGAUAUUGGGUACUCCAAACAUAUUAAAGACGUCUUCUUUUAAAAAUUUAAUGACGCUUGAAGUACUUGCUUUUCUUAACGCUUUCAAUAACACAAAUUUGGACAAAUGAUCUAAGACAACAAACACGUAUACAUUUCCUAAUUUUGACCUCGGAUAUGGUCCUAAAAAGUCAAUGUAUAUUUUUUCAAACGGACGAUUACUACAAUAUGACGUAACAAUAGGAGGACGAGAUACUUGAUUCGACGCUUUACUUUGUUUACACACACUACAAUUAGAGACGUAUUCACGAACAUGCACGGUCAUAUUAGGCCAGUAGAAAUAAUUUCUAAGUUUAGCUAGAUUUUUAGCUAUGCCGCCGUGUGCGGAUUUAGGAGGAUCAUGAACCUUCUUUAUAAUUUCCUCGGUUAACCCUGAUGGUACCCAAAGGAGCCAAGAAUGUUCCCACAUUUCUUCUUCGCCUAAUUUUUUAAAAACUUUUUUAUAAACAUAUCCGUCUUCGUAUUUUAAGUCGGGAAGCUCGUUUUUAUGGUUGUAAACCGUCUCGAUGAGGUCUAAAUAUUCAUCGGAAAGGAAUUCCGCUGACUUCAGGUCAAUCAACGGGGCAACGUCCUCGAUGGUCAGAGAAUCCACAUGUACCCGAGAAAGAGUAUCCGGUACUACGUGUUGACUUCCUUUACGGUGCUGUAUGUCGAAGGUAUAGGACUGUAACGAAAGACUCCACCUGGCAAGCUUGCCACUAAGGUCCUUCAUGCUCAUCAGCCAUUUAAGGCUGGAAUGGUCCGUUAUGAUUGUAAAGUCCAUUCCCUCGACAUACGGCCUGAACUUCUUCACAGCCAUCACCGCGGCCAUACACUCCUUCUCGGUGACACUGUAGUUCCUCUGACUUUUAUUAAAUUUUUGAGAGAAAAACGCGAUCGGUACCUCCUCUCCUUCCUCGUCCAACUGAACCAGUACAGCACCGAUCCCGGCGUCAGAAGCAUCACAUUGGAUGUAAAAUCUUUUUGUGAACUCCGGGCGCGAAAGAACCGGUGCUGAGAUCAACGCUUUCUUCAGAUUCUCGAAUGCCAUCAGCGCUUCAUCCGUCAUGAAGAACUUCUCGCUUCUCUUCUUCAACAGGUCAGUCAAAGGAGCAGUCAAAGUUGAAAAGUCCUUUAUGAACUUCCGAUACCAGCCUGCCAUUCCAAGUAGCCUACGGAUCUGCCUAGGGGUUUUCGGGAUCGGGAAAUCCACGAUCGCCUCUACUUUCGCCGGAUCCGUUUUAAAUUUCCCACCACCAACUAUGAAGCCCAAGUAUUUUAACUCUUUGAAGCAAAACCUUGAUUUCUUCAUGUUGAUGGUGAGAUUGGCUUUACGUAAGCAUUCGGCUACUUCGCUUAGCAGGCUGAUAUGGGUAUCAAAAUCCGGUGCCAUGAUAAGCAAGUCAUCGAGGUACACAAAAACGCGCUCCCUAAGUCGUGCAGGAAUCACCUUGUCCAUCAACUGGCUCAACCGUUGAGCUGCAUUGCACAACCCAAACGGCAUCACAGUGAACUGGUACAAGGGUCUUCCCGGUACCGCAAAGGCAGUCUUUUCUCUACUCUGUUUCUCCAGCGGAAUUUGCCAAAAGGCCUCUUUGAGAUCGAUGCUACUCAUGUAAAUCGCGUCGGGAAAUCGGCUGGUGAGUCCUUCAAUGUGAGGAAGAGGGUUCGCAUUUUUCUUCGUCAGUGCGUUCACCUUACGGGAAUCCAAACAGAGUCGGUUUUUGCCGGGUUUCCGUAAGAGUACCACUGGCGAACACCACGGGCUUUCACUCUCCUCAAUCACACCGAGUUUCAGCAUCCGAUCCAACUCAUCGUACAACAGUGUUUGUAUCGCUGGAGAGACAGGGUAGUGACGCUGUUUCACAGGGAGAGCAUCUCCUGUUUCGAUGACAUGCUCCAUCAUGGUAGUCUUUCCAAGACCAUCGCGCUCGAAACUUAAAAAUUUAUCUUUGACAGCAUCCAGCCUGGCCUGUUGAUCCGAGGUUAACUGGUGAGCAUUUGGAGAAUCUGAUUGUUCGUCAACCGAGAUACUACUUAUAAUUCCCGGAGCUAACUGGAACACUCUCCAAAAGUCAACUCCAAGAUAGAUCUCCUGGUCCAAGCUGGGAACGAGGAAGAAGGUCAACAUCUCUUCUUUAUCCUUAUAUGUAACGCUAAUGGAAAUUUUGCCCACAAUUGAUUGUCUUUUUCCGUCAGCAGUCCUAACUCCUGAACUGAAAGGUGUAAUAGGACAACCAAGUUGUUCAAUCAACUGAUUGCAGUUUUUCCCUAAUAUGCUUACACUAGCACCGCUGUCUAGUAAGCCUAAAAACUCUCUCGAACCUAUUUUAAUUUUUGCAUAAGGCCGAGGAUCGGAUUCUAAAUUUAAAAUGGUCGAAGAUAUCUUCUUCGAAGUAUCUUUACGGGCCUUGAAUCUCGCCCUUGCCUUUAAAAUAUUUUUCGAAGGUGUACUAAUUGCACCGUUAAAAAUUCUUGCCCGAGCUUUCUCGUAUUCCUGAAGACGGACAUGUAACGGUUUGAUUUUGUAUAAAUUUCUUUCAUUUACUUCUUUUAUAAUUUCUCCUUUUUCUUUUCGCUUUAAAAUUUGUAUUUUUAUCUCACCCUCUUGCAAGAGAGGGGUUUCCAUCACUCCAUCAGCGGAGGUGGAAUUUUUAAAAUCUAUUGGGGGUUCUGAUUUGGAUUGGCACGCGAUUCCCCCGUACCCUUCGCGUCCCGAGACCGGUUUCCCUGAUUGCAUCGUGGGCAACGUGGAGUUAUUACGCCUUCUAGACCACACUUGUAGCAAAACACGUUUCGCACAUCAGACUCACAAUCAAAGUAAGUAUGGCCCUGCACUCUGCAGUUCCAACAUUCUAAUUUUGUAGUGUCCGCGUAUUUGCGAGGCGAAAUUUUUGGUCGAGCCGUACCAAACUGAUAAGCAGCAAGCUGUUCAUCCGUCGGUUGGUACUCCUCUUCCAAUUUCAGUUCAUUGACCGGAUAUUUACCUGGUGGUUUGGCAAAGGUUUUUGGCAAUUCCUUCCUCGGAAAUGCCACUUCCGCAUCCUUGCACGCAGUCCUCAGCUGAUCGGAGGUAAAGAUGGCCUGUGGAUAAACUAAUUUCCCUAUUCUUUCAUUUAGAUUUCUUUUCAGAAUUCGCACCAUUUCAACAUCCGGUAUUGGGACCCUUAACUGGAAUUUCAUCCUGUUUAUGGCCAUGAAGAAAUCUUCACUACUCUCCCAGGAAUGCUGCUUGCGAUCCAUGAUGUCUCGGAUUAUCUCGAAGUCUGAGCGAGUAUUCCUAUACUGACGCAGCAAGGCAUCCUUCAAAGCUGGCCAGUCAUGACGGUAAUUUGUCCGCUGAAACUGCCAGUACCACUCGGUAGCAUUUCCUGAGAGAAGUAGAUGAAAAUCCCUUAACACUUCGCCCCAGGAACAUCUAUGCUUGUUCCGCUGGAUCUCAACCCGAAGAACAAAAUCCUCUGCGGUCAUAGUCGUUGGUUGGCCAUCGAACUUCAAACCCCAUCUAUCCAAUCUUAUUGGACCCUGGGGUCUCGGAUGCUGAGUUGGUCCAUAGUACUCCGGUUGGUAGCCGUAUGGGUUAGGAGUUCUCAUAGGAUAAGAGUUGACAUACGGAUCUGACGGGAUUUCCUCAUACCCAGCGGGAAGAUUACCCCUAUCUUGAGGUCUUCUCGUCGGGUCAUGUAUUAGGCGACUCGAUUGAUUAACCGGUACAAAAGCGCUUCCACCUGGAUCACUUGGAGGAUACUGCUGCACUGGUGGCUGGGUCGCCGGCACAGGUCUGGGCAUCUGACCAGCAGAAGAAUGAUUUGUUGGCCCUACAUUUAAAUUCCUAAGGAAUUCACCAAGUUGAUUUUGGAUUUCACUCUUUAAGGAGGAGGUGGUCUUUGAGCUAGGCUCUCUAAGAUGUCCCUGGAACUACCUGAGCCAACUGCCUGGACUGAUACUGGUCUAUUACUAGUAUCAGGCACAAAACCUGUCGCUGGUCGCACAGUAUCGUUCAUCGACCCGAUACUUUCCCUACUAUGCACGUUCUCCUCUCUCAUCCCACUAAGUUGACUAAUCGGGGGAGGAGAAACUGAAUCGACCGUGCUAUAGGUUUCAUCGCGAGCCAGAGGAAUACUAGCCCUAGCUGGUUGGUUGGAUUCAGCUCGGAUUUGCCUAUCAGAAAUAAGAGGAGAAUACAUCAUCUGCUGUCUAGAGCAUUCCUUAUAAGGCGGUUUAUGCGCUCUUCCUCUUCUUUACUGGAAUAAGCCAUCGUUUAUCGGUUCAACAAUCAACAAAGAAAAUAAAAAAACAACAAAACAAAAGGGGUGAGCUUGCCAAAAAAAAAACACACCUAUUGGUAUUUGCAACCUAAAUUUAUACAACUAACCUUACGAAAGCAAAAAUGUCAAAAAAAAAUAAAUAAAUAAUGUAACGAUGAAAAAAAAUGUAAAUUUAUAGAAACUAGAAUAAGAAAAAAAAAAUGAAAAAGAUAAAUUGAAAAAACUAAAUUAAGAAAAAUAAAUUAAUCAAACAAAAAAAAACGAAAUGUAAACUUAUCGAAAACUGUAUAGAAAAAAUAAAUAAAUAAGAAAAUAAGAUAGAAAAACUGUACACUGUAACUAAACAAAACCUAAUAUUGGAACAAAAAGAUAUAUAAAUAACAAAAAGUUUAAUAAAUAACGAAAACUAGUAAAUAAAUAAUGUAAACGAAAAAUUUUAAGAAAAAUAUUGUAACUAAAUAACUAAUUUAUCAAAACUGUACCUAAACUUACAAAAAAAACUAUAACUAUAUAACUGUAAAUAAAUAAGAAACUCAAAAAAUAACUUGUUAAUUAAAUUACUCACGAAAAAUACUAAGAAUCGAUAAGAAAAAAUAAUAAUAAGAAUAGAAAAAUGAAAAAUGAAAAAUGAAAAACGAAAAACGAUAGAUAACCUCUUAACAAAUGUAAUUCUAAAAAAAAACUAUUUUAGAAAACUUUGUACAGUUAUCUUUAAAUUUGAUUGUCUUACUAAGAUUAAAUUAGUUUUCUAUAAUGAAAACAAAUUAACUCUAUAAAGUAAGAAAAAUUAUCAAAAACAAACUUAACAAACUAAGAAAACAAAAAAAAAUUAAGAAAAAUGUAAAAUUUCAAUAAUUUUGUAAUAAAUAACACUCAAACAAAAUUAACGAAAAAUCAAAUCAAGAAAAAAAUAUCAGAAUAACUUUGAAAAAUGUACAAAAAAAAUAAAUCAAAGAAAAAUAUGUAUGUAAUAAAGUUAGUAAUUGAAACAAAAGGA